GACGAACGCUGGCGGCGUGCCUAAUACAUGCAAGUAGGACGCAGUUGCGAACGGGUGAGUAACGCGUAGGUAACUGCCUAUUAGAGGGGGAUAACUAUUGGAAACGAUAGCAAAUACCGCAUACUAGACGAUGGACCUGCGUUGUAUUAGCUAGUAGGUAGGGUAAUGGCCUACCUAGGCAAUGAUACAUACCCGACCUGAGAGGGGGAUCGGCCACACUGGGACUGAGACACGGCCCAGACUCCUACGGGAGGCAGCAUGGGGGAACAUUGGACAAUGGGCGAAAGCCUGCUCCAGCCAUGCCGCGUGUUUGAAGAAGGUCUUCGGAUUGUAAAGCACUUUAAGUUGGGAGGCGUUACCAACAUAGUAAGCACCGGCUAACUUCGUGCCAGCAGCCGCGGUAAUUC
RNAcentral lists this ribosomal RNA (407 nucleotides) under uncultured bacterium. RNAcentral describes it as "partial 16S ribosomal RNA". It matches the Rfam family "Bacterial small subunit ribosomal RNA", at positions 28 to 526 of the family's 1533-position model. The record is from RNAcentral.